RNAcentral lists this ribosomal RNA (301 nucleotides) under uncultured bacterium. Its description in RNAcentral is "partial 16S ribosomal RNA". It matches the Rfam family "Bacterial small subunit ribosomal RNA", at positions 509 to 807 of the family's 1533-position model. The record is from RNAcentral.
CAGCCGCCGCGGGAAUACGUAGGGUGCAAGCGUUAUCCGGAAUUAUUGGGCGUAAAGAGCUCGUAGGCGGUUUGUCGCGUCUGCUGUGAAAACUGGAGGCUCAACCUCCAGCCUGCAGUGGGUACGGGCAGACUAGAGUGCGGUAGGGGAGAUUGGAAUUCCUGGUGUAGCGGUGGAAUGCGCAGAUAUCAGGAGGAACACCGAUGGCGAAGGCAGAUCUCUGGGCCGUAACUGACGCUGAGGAGCAAAAGCGUGGGGAGCGAACAGGAUUAGAUACCCCUGUAGUCCCUGUCUCUUAUAC